RNAcentral lists this ribosomal RNA (682 nucleotides) under uncultured bacterium. RNAcentral's name for it is "bacterial SSU rRNA". It matches the Rfam family "Bacterial small subunit ribosomal RNA", at positions 817 to 1502 of the family's 1533-position model. The record is from RNAcentral.
UUGAUGGACCUUGAGCCGUGGCUUUUCGGAGCUAACGCGUUAAAGUAGACCGCCUGGGGAGUACGGUCGCAAGAUUAAAACUCAAAUGAAUUGACGGGGGCCCGCACAAGCGGUGGAGCAUGUGGUUUAAUUCGAUGCAACGCGAAGAACCUUACCUACUCUUGACAUCUACAGAAGCCAGCGGAGACGCAGGUGUGCCUUCGGGAACUGUAAGACAGGUGCUGCAUGGCUGUCGUCAGCUCGUGUUGUGAAAUGUUGGGUUAAGUCCCGCAACGAGCGCAACCCUUAUCCUUGUUUGCCAGCACUUCGGGUGGGAACUCCAGGGAGACUGCCGGUGAUAAACCGGAGGAAGGUGGGGACGACGUCAAGUCAUCAUGGCCCUUACGAGUAGGGCUACACACGUGCUACAAUGGCGCAUACAGAGGGCGGCCAACUUGCGAAAGUGAGCGAAUCCCAAAAAGUGCGUCGUAGUCCGGAUUGGAGUCUGCAACUCGACUCCAUGAAGUCGGAAUCGCUAGUAAUCGUGGAUCAGAAUGCCACGGUGAAUACGUUCCCGGGCCUUGUACACACCGCCCGUCACACCAUGGGAGUGGGCUGCAAAAGAAGUGGGUAGUUUAACCUUCGGGAGGACGCUCACCACUUUGUGGUUCAUGACUGGGGUGAAGUCGUAACAAGGUAACCG